GAGUUUUUUUUUUUUUUUCCAUUAUAUAUCUUUGGUUUUAAUCCUGGAAAAUAGUGAAGGAAAGUGAAAUAAGACUCAGGUUAUUAUUGUUGAAUAGCUAGUGUUUGUUACAGACGCAAUCCUGAAUUUCUUCUGAAAUAUGCAUACCUCAUUGCUUGUUGAGAAUUCAUUGACCACUUCUAUUUUCCAAACGUCUGGUAUUUGUACAGGAAGCAGGUUAGUCCUUCUGCCAGCAUUACCUGAUUGUUAAUCAGAGAAUUCAAGGGUGCAUUAGAUAAACAUUACCUCAACUUUAUGGGUAUAUAAUAGUAAUGUACCUUAACUUUAAUUUAUAACACAAAGUCUCCCUAAUCUUUAAUUUAAGUAACAUAAAAUCCCAUAACUUUCAAUAGCCAAUUUUUAGGUUAUUUUUUUUGCUACCAUAGCACUUGUCAAAU
This 437-nucleotide unclassified non-coding RNA is filed under the name Hevea brasiliensis (rubber tree). The record is from RNAcentral. Lineage: Eukaryota; Viridiplantae; Streptophyta; Magnoliopsida; Malpighiales; Euphorbiaceae.